UCUGAAUCUGCGAACGGCUCCGCAAACCAGUUGUAAACCAUAGCAAGCAUGCCCUGGGUCUGCCGCAAGGUGGGUCCGGGGCUACAGGGAUAACCCUGGUAAUUCUGAGGCUAAUACAUGAACGUAACCCCUGGUCGAAGGGCAACCGGAGGCCGGGGACCGUGCGAGUGGGCGCAAGGAUUAUUGGGAAUAGUCGCACAGUAGGACCAUCAUAUCAAACGGUAUCUGCCCAUACUCCCUCACAGGAGUCGGUGGUGUCCGGGUGGCUCUUGCAAGGUGCUUCUGACCUAUCAACUAGAUGGCAGCGUAAUGGACAUGCUAUGGU
RNAcentral lists this ribosomal RNA (325 nucleotides) under Physarum pseudonotabile. Its description in RNAcentral is "bacterial SSU rRNA". It matches the Rfam family "Eukaryotic small subunit ribosomal RNA", at positions 80 to 350 of the family's 1831-position model. Lineage: Eukaryota; Evosea; Eumycetozoa; Physariida; Physaraceae. The record is from RNAcentral.